This 31-nucleotide non-coding RNA is filed under the name Homo sapiens (human). The record is from RNAcentral. Lineage: Eukaryota; Metazoa; Chordata; Mammalia; Primates; Hominidae.
UGUCCUACAAUGAGAAACCAGAUAUCUGGUC